This 397-nucleotide unclassified non-coding RNA is filed under the name Hevea brasiliensis (rubber tree). Lineage: Eukaryota; Viridiplantae; Streptophyta; Magnoliopsida; Malpighiales; Euphorbiaceae. The record is from RNAcentral.
UGAAAAGGAUAAGGAUGAUGAGAGUUUGAGAAGGUGGAAGGAGCAGCUCCUUGGAAGUGUGGAUAUCAAUGCUGUUGGAGAAUCCCUGGAUCCAGAAGUGAAGAUCUUGAGCCUUGCAAUUAAGUCGCCCGGUAGAUCUGAUAUUGUUCUCCCUAUCCCCGAGGACGGAAAUCCCAAGAGUCCAUGGUUUGUCCUGAAAGAAGGGAGCAAAUACAGCCUAAAAUUUACGUUCCAGGUCAACAAUAAUAUAGUAACAGGUCUUAAAUACACGAAUGCAGUUUGGAAAACCGCUAUCAAAGUUGACAGCACAAAAGAGAUGAUUGGGGCGUUCAGUCCUCAACUGGAGCCGUAUACUCACGAAAUGCCAGAAGAAACCACCCCUUCUGGCAUUUUCGCA